AACGCACGAGACCUGCGGACCUGCGGAGGGAUCAUUAUAGAGUUUUCUAAACUCCCAACCCAUGUGAACUUACCUUUUGUUGCCUCGGCAGAAGUUAUAGGUCUUCUUAUAGCUGCUGCCGGUGGACCAUUAAACUCUUGUUAUUUUAUGUAAUCUGAGCGUCUUAUUUUAAUAAGUCAAAACUUUUAACAAUGGAUCUCU
This 201-nucleotide unclassified non-coding RNA is filed under the name soil metagenome. RNAcentral describes it as "partial contains 5.8S ribosomal RNA, internal transcribed spacer 2, and large subunit ribosomal RNA". The record is from RNAcentral.